Molecule: long non-coding RNA, 1094 nt
Filed under: Ananas comosus (pineapple)
Lineage: Eukaryota; Viridiplantae; Streptophyta; Magnoliopsida; Poales; Bromeliaceae
Description: long non-coding RNA (ACOM_LNC001310)
Source: RNAcentral
AAAGAUAUUUAUCCAAGGCUUAUAUAAUAAUGUAUUGCUCAAAGAGUUGAUCUAAUGAUAGAAAACUUGAUAGCAUUAGGUGUUAAUUUGGUGCUAUCGAUAGCAUUGUAGCCAGACUUUAUAUAUAGAACUAGGCUAGAAUACUAUUAAUAGCAAGUCAUUGGUGCUAUUAAAUUUUCGGCCCUUUAAUAAAACAAUGUGCGGUUAGGAUGAUAGUGAUUCCCUAUGGUUUAGUAGGUGGUUGGUUGAAUAGUAUGAUCUAAUGGGUAAAAAUAGUCAAAGGGUUGAUCUAACGGCAGAAAAUUUGAUAGCACCAAGUGCUUGGUGCUAUCGAUAGUAUUGUAGCCGGAUUCUAUAUAUAGAAAUAGACUAGAAUACUAUUAAUAGCACCAAAGUCAUUGGUAUAUUAAAUUUUCAGUCCUUUAAUAAAGCGAUGUGUGGUUAGGAUGAUAGUGGUCCCCUAGGGUUGAGUGGGUGAUUGGUUGAAUAGUAGGAUCUAACGGAUAAAAAUGGUCAAAUGGUUGAUUUAAUGGCAGAAAAUUUGAUAACACCAAAUGUUUGGUGCUAUCAAUAGCAUUGUAUAGCGGGACUCUAUGCAUAUAUAUAUAUAUUAGAAUUCUUUAGUUUAAACUUUUAUUUCGGUUCCAGAUAUGAGCAGUAUUUGAGGAAAAAAAUUGAAAAUUUAGUUACAACUGGUGCUAUAUUAGAGAGAUAGGUAGCACGCUACCCACUUCGUUUAUUUUAUUUAAAAAUAAACUUAGCUGGAAAUAUGAAUCAACUAGGAUUCGAACUUUGUGUUUUAAUUUCAAGACUUAAAAUUAAAACACGAAGUUUUCAUUAAAUAAAAUAAACUUAGCUGGAAAUGUGAAUCAACUAGGAUUCGAACUUUGUGUUUUAAUUUCGAGACUUAAAAUUAAAACACAAAGUUUUCAUUUAAGUCUUUGUGCUUCUGCUACAAAGAGGACUCGUUUAGAAGUUUUUUUUUAUCAAUAAGUGCUUUUUAUAAUAGUUUUGUUCAAACAAUACUUCAUCAAAUAGCACUAUAUAAUCUAAAACCUAAAGCUAGGCGAAACAGAUAAUUAGUACCUACCAAA